This is an RNA transcript of Drosophila mauritiana, 3027 nucleotides long. It is a transcript of the gene named paired box protein Pax-6, with no coding region annotated. The transcript is spliced from 10 exons. Lineage: Eukaryota; Metazoa; Arthropoda; Insecta; Diptera; Drosophilidae. The record is from RefSeq and is a predicted model, not a curated record.
AACGUUUCGCUUGGCUAAGUGCGCACCUCGUCACUGAAACCAGUUAGCAAAAGAAAUUUUUGUUCAAGCUUAAACCGAUAUCUACGUCACUAUUCGAUCAUUUCGAAUGCAAAUUAUUCCCAGAUUAAUAAACUAGGUCGCCAUCCGUGGCGCUGCCGCCGGGCUGCGGACCCGUACUUUCGACGGAAAAUAUCGGGACCAUUUUCAUAAAUCAUUUAUGAUACACUGUUAAAACACUCCAACGCUUUCAAUCGCGCAUACCCAAAACAAAACUCAUAAAGUGAAAGUUCAUAUCCUGGCAAGUAAAAAGUGAUAAAUGUUAAACAGUCUGAAGUGAUAGUCUGGAGUUUGAUUACCAGGUGAAGAAGAUUAUGUAUAGGAUGUACAAAGUUGGCAACGAAAUCCCCCUUCUAACAACAAUGAAAAAGGGAGUACUCCUAAUUUCUCACUUCCAAUAAUAAACAUACUCACAUUUUCACCGAAGUCUCCAACGCCGCAUUAAAAAUAAUUAAUUAUGAUGCUAACAACUGAACACAUAAUGCAUGGGCAUCCCCACUCGUCGGUCGGGCAAAGUACUCUAUUUGGGUGCUCCACUGCGGGCCAUAGCGGAAUAAAUCAGCUGGGCGGAGUAUAUGUUAAUGGCCGGCCACUGCCCGAUUCAACGCGUCAAAAAAUUGUCGAAUUGGCUCACUCCGGCGCACGUCCUUGUGAUAUUUCAAGAAUACUGCAAGUGUCCAACGGUUGCGUAAGCAAAAUUUUGGGCAGAUAUUAUGAAACAGGAUCGAUAAAACCUCGAGCUAUAGGUGGUUCAAAACCACGAGUAGCUACAACUCCGGUCGUACAAAAAAUUGCAGAUUACAAACGGGAAUGUCCCAGCAUAUUUGCGUGGGAAAUACGAGAUCGACUGCUAUCGGAACAAGUUUGCAAUAGUGAUAACAUUCCAAGUGUUUCAUCUAUUAAUCGAGUCUUACGAAACCUGGCUUCGCAAAAGGAGCAGCAAGCUCAACAACAAAACGAAUCCGUUUAUGAAAAGCUUCGCAUGUUUAAUGGCCAAACGGGCGGAUGGGCAUGGUAUCCAAGCAAUACAACGACGGCACAUUUGACGCUACCACCAGCAGCUUCCGUAGUGACAUCUCCUGCAAAUUUAUCAGGACAGGCCGAUCGGGAUGAUGUUCAAAAAAGAGAAUUACAAUUUUCAAUAGAUGUUUCGCAUACAAACUCUCACGAUAGUACAUCAGAUGGCAACUCUGAACAUAAUUCAUCCGGGGACGAAGACUCUCAAAUGCGGUUGCGCCUAAAAAGGAAGUUACAGCGCAAUCGGACAUCAUUUUCUAAUGAGCAAAUUGACAGUCUCGAAAAAGAAUUUGAAAGAACACAUUAUCCCGAUGUUUUUGCUCGAGAAAGGCUUGCUGAUAAAAUUGGUUUGCCAGAGGCACGUAUUCAGGUUUGGUUUUCAAACCGACGAGCUAAAUGGCGCCGAGAAGAAAAAAUGCGAACUCAGAGAAGAUCGGCCGAUACCGUGGACGGCAGUGGUCGACCCAGCACGGCAAAUAAUCCUUCAGGAACGACUGCGUCUUCCUCCGUCGCAACGUCAAACAACUCGACUCCAGGGAUUGUCAACUCAGCAAUCAACGUCGCGGAACGAGCAUCAUCUGCAUUAAUUAGUAAUAGCCUUCCUGAGGCUUCAAAUGGACCAACUGUUUUGGGUGGUGAAGCUAAUACUACACACACCAGCUCUGAAAGCCCACCACUUCAGCCAGCGGCACCGCGGCUACCCUUAAAUUCUGGAUUCAACACCAUGUACUCAUCUAUCCCACAACCGAUUGCAACGAUGGCUGAAAAUUACAACUCCUCAUUAGGAUCAAUGACCCCGUCAUGCUUACAACAACGCGAUGCCUAUCCUUACAUGUUUCACGAUCCGUUAUCACUAGGAUCUCCCUAUGUGUCAGCCCACCAUCGAAAUACAGCUUGCAACCCCUCAGCGGCGCAUCAACAGCCCCCUCAGCAUGGUGUUUAUACCAAUAGUUCUUCAAUGCCAUCAUCAAACACAGGUGUCAUUUCUGCGGGCGUUUCGGUGCCUGUCCAGAUUUCAACGCAAAAUGUAUCUGACCUAACGGGAAGCAAUUACUGGCCACGUCUUCAGUGAUCGUCAAUCUUUGGCUCACCAUUAGAUCAUUUGUCAAAGGCGACUGCCGCUGCAAUCAUUGCCGCACAAGCAGCUGAGAAAAGCCAUAAACACCGAAAAGGGCAUUCAAUUCCGACCCGUAUUCCACAACUAUUAUAUACUUAUUACCAAACAUAGGGAAGUGCGUGGAAGACGGAUAUAAAGCAAAGUGACUUUAUACAUGAUUUUACAUUUACAUUAAAUUCUUAUAUGUUUUUAGGGUCGUAAGCGUUAUAGUUUCAUCUACUAAUAACGUACAUCUAAACACAUCUCUCACACCCUUUUCCUCUACGAUUAAAUCCCCAAAUUGUUUUGUGCUAAUGUGCUAACCAUAGGACAUUUUGAAUUAAAAAUUACAUUUUUUAAGGUUCAAUACAAAUUACAAAAUGAUGCUAAUUAAACGUCUUAUAAACAUUUUGACGAAAUUAUUAAUUUGAAUUAUUAAGAGAAAUUUAAGUACAAGAACAUUAUCUACUGUACGUAUCUAUUAAAAGAUUAAAGUGUUUCUAAUUUGAUCGGUAUGAAAUAAAGUAAAACCAUUCAUUUGAUAAAAAAAGCGUAAACCUCAUAUAAAUAAAUAAAAAACAUUCCCGUCAAUAUGUUUUAAAAAAUCUAUAUUUUAUUAUAAUAUAUUAAAAUUAUAAGUUAUGUGUACAUGAUUCUUUUAAAAAUGUAAGCUAUUAGUUAUUACUCCACGUGUACACCGUUUGUAAAACAGAAACUUAUAACAACGUUAGAUUGAAUGAAGUGCAACGAACUUGACUACAAUGAAGGAAAUGAGCUAACAUCUCAUCCAAAUAAACACCAACCCCAACAAGCCUUCAGGUUUAUAUCAAUAAUAAUAAAACGUCGUAUAAUUAUAA